GUUAUGCUGUGAUGAAUUAUGAAUAAAUUCACAUGUCAGACUUCAGAGAUUAUUACAAUCAAUGAGAAGUACAUUCAUCUAUUCUGAGCAUAAU
Small nucleolar RNA from Quercus robur (English oak), 94 nucleotides. RefSeq annotates it as small nucleolar RNA R64/Z200 family. NCBI's taxonomy places the organism in Eukaryota, Viridiplantae, Streptophyta, Magnoliopsida, Fagales, Fagaceae. The transcript has a single exon. The record is from RefSeq and is a predicted model, not a curated record.